GUACACGUCUGUACAACAUAUAUGCCCACGCACACGUCACGUACGCGCGCGUGAUGUGUCGCCCCGGCGGUCAGUAGUCGGCGGCGCGCCACGUGCUCUCUACACACGACGCUCUGCGCUCUCCGCGUCGUACGCGUCCACCGCCGGGACGUGCGACCGCAUUACGCGCUCGCGCGCCGUGCACACCACGUGCUGCAUGCCAUUCACGCGAUCGCGCGCGCCCACUCGCACACGCGCACUGGUACGCCAACACACGCGUGCGCGCGCGCUACCCGCACCGGCCAUAUUAUUAUUAUCACUCGUAUACGUCACAGCUUUAUCGAUCAAUGAAUCAAUAUUAUCGGCACAAUCUUUAAUGGAGUUCAAACGUUUUGGAGUAAGAAGUAGUUCUGGAUAGAUUAAUAUUAUCCACAUAAAUAUUCCAAAAAACGUAUAGAAAGGUACUAUACAAUCUACUGUUAAUAUGUUUUCGGGUCCAAGGCCGUCAGAUGGUUGCGAACGAUAUACUUCCGGAGGUUCGAUUUGCAAACUGUGCUCAUCUGGUUUGGAGACCUAAGCUACCUAUGACACGGCGACGCAUCGAAUAAAAAUUAAUUUCAUCGCGAGAGGGAUAAACUCGGGCGCCAACCGGUCGGUCUUUAGGAUGCACGUGAUAUAUAUAUAUAUAUAUAUACUGCACAUGCGGGGUCUGGAGCAGAUGGAAUUCGGUGGUCAUCGUCGCGUAGUUGGUCAUCGCUUGGCAGGAGGUCGAUUGGCUGCCCCGUAUAUACACGGUGAUCCUUUCGGUAAAAAUUCGUUAUGAUUUCAUUGCUAUAUAAUAUAUAUACAAUAUAUUAUACAAUAUCACACUAAUAUGCUGUGCUAUAUUGCAAUAGGGUAUGCGUAUCCAUUUUCAAUAAUAAUUGCCUUAAUAGUAGGUAUUCGUAUUUUGUACUUCCCACCUUUGUUCGCUGAAUUUUCAGUAUCGAAUUUUGAAACCUAUAGUAUGAACUAUAGUAUAAUAUAGUAUCACACCUCGCGUUUGUAUAGUAUGCAAUUAUCAUAUUAUAUCUCAUAUAAUAUAUGGCAAUGUCAUAUAGUUAUUUGAACUUUAGAUUGAAAAAGAUGUGCACAAAAGUGUCUCCUUCAUGAAAUUGUAAGAUAUGUGUUUGCCCUCACCUGCAGCUAGCUGCUACACAAUCGAGUAAAUGUCUUGACGUCUUGCAACAACUUUCACGACAAUCAUAUAAUAAUUUGCCGAUAUUAGAUAUUUUAUGAAUAUUUAUAUAAAAAUAUUCCAUGCCGAGGUUUAAAAAUCAAAGUUUUAGGGUUUCAAAAAUAAAUAUUACACGAAACCACGAAUAUAUCUAGAGUUACAUAUAUUAUGAUAUAGGCUGCAGCACUUUCGCGUUUAUAUAACAUACGACCACUCUGUAUAUAUCAAUUCUGUGAGCCGAGUAUGUUGCAACACGGUAUAUACACGGAUAAAUGAACGCAGAGCCGAAAACUACUUUAACCCCUCGCGCGUUAGCCCUUUAAUUAUUGCAACGGCCGUCGUAGGUCGAAAGGGACCUUCGUCGAGGGAUCGAGAUCCAGACGGUUUCGUAUAUACAUAUAUAUGCGCCAUAUACGCGUUUCUUUGAUUCACCGAAUUUUUCGGCGUGUUAUAUAUAUAUAAUAUAUUAUUGGUUAUGUGCGUGUGUGUUUCUGAAUUCGAACACGAUACCGCUAUUGUACCUACCUACGUAGGUGACUCACCUAUAAGGUGAGAUAAUGAAACAUAUCGCCUUGGUCCGAAAUAAUUACAAAACGAUCCGUGACAAAUUAGACGGAUUACACAUCACGCAAAAGUGCCAAUUAUAUACUAUAGCUUUUCGAUUUUUACCCCAAAACUACCAUUAUAUGAGUUAUAACGAAUUAUAAUCACUUUUAUCAUAUUCCUGGAAAUAGCAUAUUGUAUACUGUUGAGUCGGUGAAACAUCGCCUAGUGAACACCUCUGUAUAGCGGACUAAAUUUAAUUUAGAAAUUGCCAACUAUUUUAUACAACUGUACCUAUAGUGUGCAGUGUGCUUGGAUACUUAUAUUUUUAAGUACGAGGGACAGAGCUUCCGUUUAAUGUA
This is a long non-coding RNA of Acyrthosiphon pisum (pea aphid), 2100 nucleotides long. RefSeq lists it as uncharacterized. The record is from RefSeq and is a predicted model, not a curated record. NCBI's taxonomy places the organism in Eukaryota, Metazoa, Arthropoda, Insecta, Hemiptera, Aphididae. The transcript is spliced from 4 exons.